UGAUGGCGACCGGCGCACGGGUGCGUAACGCGUAUGCAACCUACCUUUUACAGGGGCAUAACACUGAGAAAUUGGUACUAAUUCCCCAUAAUAUCUGAGACGGCAUUCGGUUUUGGGUUGAAAACUCCGGUGGUAAAAGAUGGGCAUGCGUUGUAUUAGCUAGUUGGUGAGGUAACGGCUCACCAAGGCGACGAUACAUAGGGGGACUGAGAGGUUAACCCCCCACAUUGGUACUGAGACACGGACCAAACUCCUACGGGAGGCAGCAG
RNAcentral lists this ribosomal RNA (269 nucleotides) under uncultured bacterium. RNAcentral describes it as "partial 16S ribosomal RNA". It matches the Rfam family "Bacterial small subunit ribosomal RNA", at positions 86 to 354 of the family's 1533-position model. The record is from RNAcentral.